GGUAACAUGUUGAAAAUACAUGUCUUACAUCCAAUUUAUUUAAGUUACCUCUUACUAAUAUAAAUGAUAAUAGUGAAGUUAAAUGUUUCAUCAUUUAAGCAUGUUAUACUAUAAAUAACAAGUAUGAAAAAAUAGCAACACUAUUUUUUUUUUGUAUAAGUAAUGGUAGCAGUAGCGAGAGAAGAAGAGAAGCCCUAAGCUCCAAGUCCCCGCCGUUCUUCUUCUUCACCAUUAGAGAACAAAAUACCUGAUUCUAUUGAAUCUUCAACCCUCAGAACCAAAAAAGGACCCCUUCUUCUUCACCUUAUGGCUAUGGGUACGGCUCCCGUGUUCUAAUACUCUGCCUAAUUUUCAUUAGUUUCGAUUGUUUUGCAAUCUAGGGUUUUGCCAAUGGAUCCCUUGAGGAAGAAAUCUAGGGUUUUCAUUACUUCUUAAUCAAGAGUGCCUACCUGAUUGCGAGAUGCUGAAUAUCUUCCCAACGGAUGAAUUGCUCUUUAAACUUGGCCGUAUAUGUGACAGAUCAGUUGAGGGUCCUUGGGCCGGACUUGAGAAUAUUGACAAAUCACAAUGGAUAGAGUUUAUAGACUCUAAGUUAACGGUUCAGGCUUACUUCGAAAAUUUUUCAAUUUUUGGUCCAUUGCAAUGCAUUAAAGAUCUUUCCAGAAUGAAGAGUUGACUAGAAUGAAGAGUUGACGAGAAAGUUGAAUGCACUGAACGAAGAGUUGAUUGAGUUGAAAAAACCGAGGAAGAACAAAAUUCGUCAGACGAGUACGAGACCGCCUGCUUCUACUGCAGCUCCACCGCCUGCUUCUACUACAGCUCCGCCUAUUCCUAGUGCAGCAGGUGUCGAUAUCACGUCUUCAUCUCAAUUGGAAUGCAUAGAUCUUGAAACCUUGUAUGGUGAAGACGGUUCUGACAGUCAUGACUGUUUGAUGGAAAUUAGCAUUAUGACUUCUUUUUUUAGCCUUUUGAAAUUGUAGCCUAGAUUUAUUUUAGAAUUUCAAGGCAAGCAAGCUUCAGAGUUUUCUCAUGAAUCAUAAAAAAUAACGAGCAACAUCAUCUAAGAACAUAACUGGAGAGAGUUCUCUAUUGUACGCGCUUAGUUGUUUGACAAUUAAUACUCUCUCUAGUCCA
This is a long non-coding RNA of Nicotiana attenuata, 1134 nucleotides long. RefSeq lists it as uncharacterized. Lineage: Eukaryota; Viridiplantae; Streptophyta; Magnoliopsida; Solanales; Solanaceae. The transcript has 2 exons. The record is from RefSeq and is a predicted model, not a curated record.